UUUCCAGAAAUAUAUAUAUAUGAUUUUAGAGAAUUUGUACACCAAAUUUUCCCUAUUUACACUUCAUACCCUAUAUCCCUCUAAUUUUCUCCUCCCCCCAUCAUUACUAUUUUUCCCCUAUUCUAUGGUAUUCCACCUUUUUUUGUAUAUUAAGCUAAUUUGCUCAUGAUUUUAUGCAGGAUAAACACUAUAUCACAAACACACUCGUUUGCAACCACAUAAUCCUUUGUGUUUGCCUUAUUUUUUUUGUUGUUCACUAUUUUACUUAUGCGUUGAAUAUUGUGUAGGUAUUCUCGCUGUAUUCUUGGAGACCUUGAUAUUAUCUUCCUUGGUGCAUGUCCAUUUACUCCCGCAGCAGGCCCUACCUUGAACACAUGCCCAAGAUACAUUGGUAUGGGGCGGCAUAGAAUUUAUAUAGUUUUUAGGUUUAUUUUUUUUGUUAUUAGCACAAGAAAGGAAAAUUGAGUUUUACUUAGGGCAUCUUUAUUGGUGGGAUGAAGAGAGAGAGGGAGAGAGUCCAUUGUUUUGCUUUUUUUUUUUUUUUUUUUUUUUUUGUUUUUAAAAAGAAUUUUUUUUUUUUUUUUUUUUUGGUCAUUAGAGAUUAAGGGACAGCCCUUAAUUAAGGGCUUUUUCCUUCUCUUUCUUCCUCGGUUCCCACCCCCCUUCCCCUAAGGGAUGCCUUAAGGGACCUCCAAUACAAAUGCCCUUAAACCUAUUUCAAACAAAUAACAUAAUAAAUGCUUGAGUAUUUUUUUUCUUUCUUUUACACAAAAUGAUAUAGAAAGAUAGUUUCAGAAUUGAUACUUUUAAAAGUUUUAGGGAUAUUGUAAAUUUCUAAUUGUAAACUUCAAUUUCAAUAAAAAAAAUUUGAAAAAAAUAUCACUUAGACCAUCCCCAAUGUAUUUUAUUACUUUAACCUCUGGUAUAGAAUAACUUUAUAACAGAGGUGAGAUAUACUCCAAUUUAUUUUUCUAAAAUAUCAAUUUCUAAAUACAGAAUAAAAAAUAGAAGAAUAUUAUUUCUUUUUCUAUAAAUUGAAAAAAAUAACAAUAUUUAUUACAAAAGGAAGAAAUAUAAAUGUGUUGGAGCAAUUUUACUUCUUGAUAUUAUUAUAGAGUUGAAAAUAACAAUGAAUUAGAAAUGUUUUGAGAACCUAUAUUUUUAGUUUUGUAUUCAACCUGAAAAUUUUCAAGACUGGCACUAUCCAGUAGGUGACUUUGAGUCUUUGACCACUCAAGAAAAUAUAUCGAUAAUGAGAUAGAUAAAAAAUCUGCACGUAAAAGUAUGUUCUCUGAUAAAAUCCUUAAGAGUUAUGGUAAUUUCCUUUUGAAAACCAAAUAAUUAUUCCAAAGUUAGAGAGGCAUUAAUGAAGGUUGGUCACCGGCAUGUUACGACGGUUCUUCGGUGUCAUGUGGGCAUAAAUUUGUUCACUUCGAUCAAUAAAGGAUUCAAACCCAAACCUAAAUAGAGAUCGUAGUCGUAACUUGCGUGUGGACUUUUCAGACAGAGAAAUUUAAAACGAACAACUAACUCAUUUAUACCUUUUUUUUUUUUUUCCCAACUGAAUUAUAUUAGCAAAAAGGCCGAAGCCCAAAGAGAGUUACAAAGACCAAAAGACCCAAACACAAAGCCCAACUUAAAAGAACAAACCCGCUUAGGCCCAAGCUCGAUAUCCUCAAACCCAAACACGCCGACUCGCGGUUCGCCCUACCUCGAGAAGCAAACCCGCAAACGUCGCCGCCACCAGUAGCACUUACGUCGGAGAACGGACGCUUCUCACCGGCCACUACAAGAGCAUGCCUCACCGUGACAAACCGGAUCCCAUGACCUACACACACUCUUCACCACCGCCGUCUUGUACUCUAGAGAAAUCUUUACCGGCGAGAUCAAUCGCCGGAGCGAGAUCAUCACCACCACCGUUCGAGCACAAACCAGAGUAACAACCACGGCUCACAGAAACAUCACCAACUUGAUACGGACGCUUCUCUCUUCCUCCAACGAGAGAACACACACGGGUCUAAACCAUCACCAACGCCAUAAACAACCACAAAGGCCCUAAAAAAAAACUAAUCUAAAAAUUAAGCAAACAGGAGCCGACGAGGCAAGGUACAAGACGCCUUCACCCCUCGGUACAUGAUCCGGCGACGCAGAGCUGAGAUAGCCUCUACCUCCCGGAGACUUUGCCGGCGACGCAGAGCUGAAGAAGCCUCCACCCCCCGGAAACUUGAACGGCGACGGCGGAACUAACGGAGCCUCCGCCUCCCGGAAUGAACCCUAACUUCAACCCAAAAAACUAACAAGCUGUCGCGACGAGCCGCGUCCUACUACCUCACCACGAAUCCAGAGAAAGAGAGAUUACCGCCGUUUGAAACCCUCCGUAGACAAAUCUCUUCCGACGAUAAAACCCUAUUCCAGAUCCGAAAAUAUAUCGGAUAGGACAGCAGAUCGACGCGCACAGAGGAAAACCUAGCAAGGAUCGACAAGAAGGGAGCCACCGGCGCCGGCACGCGCGCAUACGCGCCGCCGUACGUCGGUGCUUCCCUCCCACGCGUUUUCUCUCUUUUCUCUCUCUCAGAAUACACCCUGGCAAAACUUAACUCAUUUAUACCUUACCAACACGUUCGUUUUGAUUAUUAGUUUUCGACUUAUUUUAUUAUCAAUGGUUGGAGAAUGGGUGUACAUCGAUGUAUUUAAUGUUAUUGAUUCUAGAUCAUACAAAUAAUUUAGUAGAAGUUCUCACUCCAACAAAAGUAGAGUAACACCACUCCUUUCCCUUUCUGAGAGAUGAAUGUUUUGGUUUUUCACACAUUUAAAAAACACAUUAAUUAUGUAUUGUUUUUUGAAAUUAUCAAAUUUCAAUGCUUUUUGACUAAUAUUCCCUCCGUUUCGAUUUAAUUAUCGUUGUAGGGAAACAGAAACAUCACCAACUUGAUACGGACGCUUCUCUCUUCCUCCAACGAGAGAACACACACGGGUCUCAACCAUCACCAACGCCAUAAACAACCACAAAGGCCCUAAAAAAAAACUAAUCUAAAAAUUAAGCAAACAGGAGCCGACGAGGCAAGGUACAAGACGCCUUCACCCCUCGGUACAUGAUCCGGCGACGCAGAGCUGAGAUAGCCUCUACCUCCCGGAGACUUUGCCGGCGACGCAGAGCUGAAGAAGCCUCCACCCCCCGGAAACUUGAACGGCGACGGCGGAACUAACGGAGCCUCCGCCUCCCGGAAUGAACCCUAACUUCAACCCAAAAAACUAACAAGCUGUCGCGACGAGCCGCGUCCUACUACCUCACCACGAAUCCAGAGAAAGAGAGAUUACCGCCGUUUGAAACCCUCCGUAGACAAAUCUCUUCCGGCGAUAAAACCUUAUUCCAGAUCCGAAAAUAUAUCGGAUAGGACAGCAGAUCGACGCGCACAGAGGGAAACCUAGCAAGGAUCGACAAAAAGGGAGCCACCGGCGCCGGCACGCGCGCAUACGCGCCGCCGGACGUCGGUGCUUCCCUCCCACGCGUUUUCUCUCUUUUCUCUCUCUCAGAAUACACCCUGGCAAAACUUAACUCAUUUAUACCUUACCAACACGUUCGUUUUGAUUAUUAGUUUUCGACUUAUUUUAUUAUCAAUGGUUGGAGAAUGGGUGUACAUCGAUGUAUUUAAUGUUAUUGAUUCUAGAUCAUACAAAUAAUUUAGUAGAAGUUCUCACUCCAACAAAAGUAGAGUAACACCACUCCUUUCCCUUUCUGAGAGAUGAAUGUUUUGGUUUUUCACACAUUUAAAAAACACAUUAAUUAUGUAUUGUUUUUUGAAAUUAUCAAAUUUCAAUGCUUUUUGACUAAUAUUCCCUCCGUUUCGAUUUAAUUAUCGUUGUAGGGAAAAAAAUUCGUUUCAAAAUAAGUGUCGUUUUAGAGUUUCAAUGCAAAAUUUAUUAAUAUGAUUCUCUAAUUUAUGUUUCUAUUGGUUGAAAUAUGAUUAGGUGUAUAUGUAAUUGUGUUUUUGUUUUGGAAAUAUACAAAAUCAUAUGUUUUCUUAAUCUGUGUGCAUAAACCUAGAACGACAAUUAAAAUGAAACGGAGAGAGUAGUCUUUUAAUAAAUCUAAUUACUUUUAUUGAAAUUUGUAAAUUUUGUAUUGAAAACAUAAAAAAUCUUUCUGAAACAAUUUUUUUUCUCUAAAACUUCAAUUUUAUUGAAACGGAGGGAGUAUCAGUUAGUGAUACAUAUAACGUACAUGAAAAAGGCAACAUCAUGCGUAGCAAGAGUUUUUAUCCUCUUUUUUUUUUUCAUUUCAUUUUGAUUCUUCGUUCCACCCUUUCUGUUUGAGUUCUUAGUUAUUUUCAAAUAGUCGGUUUUGAGUUUUCAAUUAGACUAGAGAUCUAGUUUUUCUCGAGUUUUCAAGAAUUAAGUUUUCAAUCCGUUAGAGAUUAAAAAGUUCAAGCCUUUUUUUCAAAAAUUGAAUUUUCAAAUAUUUUCAAAUCAUCAGGUUUUCAAUCAGUCAUAUUAAAAUACAGAGAUCUAAAAUUUCAAAAUUUUCUUGAGUUUUUAAGAUCCAUGGCUUUUUCUUUUUGUUUUUGAUCAUUCUUAACAAAAUUAUUCAUUUAUGGAUCGCAGCCCAGCCCAAUCUUUCAAUUCGAAAAUCCAUCGGAUUAGAAAACAAUACAAUAACAAUCAGAACUAUGCGCUGACUUUUCUCAGCCACUUAACCUACACGAACCGAUAACAGAUAACGAAGACAAGAACGCCGUAUUGACGAGAACUGGAGCCCAUUGGCUCACUGUGGAUGAGCUGGAUAUCAUCUUUGACCACCAGCACCUGUUCGAUGUCAUCAACGUCGUUGUGAUACCGCCAGGCCGUCAAGGAUUUUAUAGAAUCUAUAACCCCUAUCUAGUUGACAGCAACAUAUUACGCCGGUGCGUAUACCGCCAGGGUGGAGCGACUGAUCUUGUCUUCACCUCGUUCGUGCAAUAUCUGUAUUUUCCGGCAGUAUAUGUUUUUAACUGAAUUUGUCACAUUUUAUGGUGAUAAGAAGAGUCGAUAAAUUUUAUGGUGAUAAAUUUUACUUGCG
RNAcentral lists this long non-coding RNA (5056 nucleotides) under Brassica napus (rape). RNAcentral describes it as "long non-coding RNA (BNAP_LNC005394)". The record is from RNAcentral. Lineage: Eukaryota; Viridiplantae; Streptophyta; Magnoliopsida; Brassicales; Brassicaceae.